This is a non-coding RNA of Tritrichomonas musculus, 73 nucleotides long. The record is from the annotation of a GenBank genome assembly. Lineage: Eukaryota; Parabasalia; Tritrichomonadida; Tritrichomonadidae.
GCAUUUGUGGCUAAACGGUUACGGCAUCAGACUUUUAAUCUGAGGAUUGCGGGUUCGAAUCCCGUCAAAUGCA